CGCCUUGCCAGCCCGCUCAGAACUCAAAGGAAUUGAGGGGCCCGCACAAGCGGUGGAGUAUGUGGUUUAAUUCGAUGCAACGCGAAGAACCUUACCUGGUCUUGACAUCCCGGAGACCCUUAGGAAACUAGGGGUGCUUCCAUCUGGAAGAAUCUGGAGACAGGUGCUGCAUGGCUGUCGUCAGCUCGUGUCGUGAGAUGUUGGGUUAAGUCCCGCAACGAGCGCAACCCUUGCCUUUAGUUGCCAGCAGUUCGGCUGGGCACUCUAAAGGGACUGCCGGUGUUAAACCGGAGGAAGGUGGGGAUGACGUCAAGUCCUCAUGGCCUUUAUGACCAGGGCUACACACGUACUACAAUGGCCGAUACAAAGGGCAGCGACACUGCGAGGUGAAGCCAAUCCCGUAAAAUCGGUCUCAGUCCGGAUUGGAGUCUGCAACUCGACUCCAUGAAGUUGGAAUCGCUAGUAAUCGUGGAUCAGCAUGCCACGGUGAAUACGUUCCCGGGCCUU
RNAcentral lists this ribosomal RNA (507 nucleotides) under uncultured Desulfobulbus sp. RNAcentral describes it as "bacterial SSU rRNA". It matches the Rfam family "Bacterial small subunit ribosomal RNA", at positions 903 to 1382 of the family's 1533-position model. The record is from RNAcentral. Lineage: Bacteria; Pseudomonadati; Thermodesulfobacteriota; Desulfobulbia; Desulfobulbales; Desulfobulbaceae.